AUUAUUUAAUAUCUCAAUCAUCA
This 23-nucleotide small nuclear RNA is filed under the name Arabidopsis thaliana (thale cress). RNAcentral's name for it is "snRNA_04913". The record is from RNAcentral. Lineage: Eukaryota; Viridiplantae; Streptophyta; Magnoliopsida; Brassicales; Brassicaceae.